GGAUGUGACGAGGAAUGGCGAUAACGGCGCGCGGCACUCGGUCAGUCUCUGAGGUCUUCUGGCAAAUGUUCAUUGGAUGUCGGUUACGAUGUGGACUACAAUUCAAAAGUCAGUUUGUCUUUUUGCUUUGAAUUUAGCAGUGCCAGUACUUCGAUACUAGACUCUCAAAAAGAUAAACAUUAAGAUGGCCAGGGCCAUGGCGACAGCGUUAUGGCGGAAGGGGCCGCGGGCGGGGCGGCCGCUUCACUGGGUCGCCGUGUUCCUGUCCUUGACCCUUGCCCUAGUCCUGCUGACCCUCCUGUCCGCGCAGGGUCGGGCGUGCUCGCCGAACCGACUGCUGGACGCAGACUUGCGGCAGGUUGAACACUACUUCACCCCGAAGCCGCAAGACACCGCGACGCUUCACCUUUCUGCCGCGACCCACUUCGCGACGCUCCCUCGCCCCAGCUGUGUGACCCCGCGCCUGACCUUCUCAUUCUCGUGCCCACCCCGCCACAUGACGGACACGUGCGUGACGUCAUUCGUCAGACCUGGGGAUCCGCCGUUGGUGGUGCCUGGCCGCACGCGGAGGCGACGGCGACGCGGCAGCGGAAAGUGGCGCUGGUGUUCCUGGUCGGGAUGGAAACCGAGAUGACGCAGGGGGAGGUAAGCGCGACUAGCGUGCGGCAGGAGGCGGAGCGGCACGGCGACGUGCUGGUGGUGGACGUCAGCGACACCUACCGGAACCUGGUGCACAAGAUUCUGCAUGGUCUGCGGUGGGCCGCGCGGCAUUGCGCCGCCGCU
RNAcentral lists this unclassified non-coding RNA (783 nucleotides) under Pomacea canaliculata. RNAcentral's name for it is "uncharacterized LOC112569346, transcript variant X1". The record is from RNAcentral. Lineage: Eukaryota; Metazoa; Mollusca; Gastropoda; Architaenioglossa; Ampullariidae.